Molecule: ribosomal RNA, 496 nt
Filed under: uncultured bacterium
Lineage: Bacteria
Description: bacterial SSU rRNA
Rfam family: Bacterial small subunit ribosomal RNA
Source: RNAcentral
GCAAGUCGAACGGUAACAUUUCUAGCUUGCUAGAAGAUGACGAGUGGCGGACGGGUGAGUAAUGCUUGGGAACUUGCCUUUGCGAGGGGGAUAACAGUUGGAAACGACUGCUAAUACCGCAUAAUGUCUUCGGACCAAACGGGGCUUCGGCUCCGGCGCAAAGAGAGGCCCAAGUGAGAUUAGCUAGUUGGUAAGGUAACGGCUUACCAAGGCGACGAUCUCUAGCUGUUCAGAGAGGAAGAUCAGCCACACUGGGACUGAGACACGGCCCAGACUCCUACGGGAGGCAGCAGUGGGGAAUAUUGCACAAUGGGGGAAACCCUGAUGCAGCCAUGCCGCGUGUGUGAAGAAGGCCUUCGGGUUGUAAAGCACUUUCAGUUGUGAGGAAAAGUUAGUAGUUAAUACCUGCUAGCCGUGACGUUNACAACAGAAGAAGCACCGGCUAACUCCGUGCCAGCAGCCGCGGUAAUACGGAGGGUGCGAGCGUUAAUCGGAA